AUGGACUGUGCUGAGCUUCCGCUGAAUAUAGUCACCACAGACGAGGAAAACCAAGAGAGUGAUCUCAGAUACAGACCACAUGGGUUGGAGUCCUCCAAGACUCAGAACCAUGACAAUUCUGCAGAAUACUGCAAGGCUCAUUUACACCUGACUGCAGUAUUCCAGAUCCAUCAGAUUGCUAGAAGCCUGAAGCAGGAUGGCCCUGGAUGCACUGAGUAGGCAGCAACAGGAAAUGACAACCAGGAUGGUUUUCCCUUUCCCUAAAUGUUUCUAGUUCUUUUUGUAACACCUAUGUACAGCAUGGUAAAUUUGAACAGGACAUGAUGUAUAUAGGGGAAAACAGCUCUAAUAAAAGUGCUGCUCUUGCAGCUCA
RNAcentral lists this long non-coding RNA (373 nucleotides) under Parus major (Great Tit). RNAcentral describes it as "lncRNA (ENSPMJG00000013627.1)". Lineage: Eukaryota; Metazoa; Chordata; Aves; Passeriformes; Paridae. The record is from RNAcentral.